RNAcentral lists this long non-coding RNA (4567 nucleotides) under Triticum aestivum (bread wheat). RNAcentral describes it as "long non-coding RNA (TAES_LNC021367)". Lineage: Eukaryota; Viridiplantae; Streptophyta; Magnoliopsida; Poales; Poaceae. The record is from RNAcentral.
GUUUUUUUUUUUGACCCGUAAUGUGGAAUAGUUGGUAUAAUCAAUCAUCAGUUCUGAAACUUUACAGGGCAAUAAGCUCUGCUCGAAUGGAGUCUACUUCCACGACCGUACCUUCCAUUGUUGUGUAUGUGACAGUUCCGAAUCGGGAAGCAGGUACUUUACCCAUGCUGUUGGUCUUUUUUUAUUACCUUUGCAUGCUACCAUUGCCAUUAAUUAAUCACAGAUACACGCCAUACUAUCAGUUGACCAACUGAACUUACUUCCACAUCUGAUAGUGCAUUUGAGUUACAUUUGAGCUAUGUUGUUCAAUGGUCCAAUUAUAGAUGGCUGUAUGGUAUUGUUUUGGCGAGAUUGAUCUCUUUCUUUAAGCAGCACUAAGAAAUCUAAAAUGGCUGUUUUUUUUCUUUUCAAUAAUCUUAUUAUUAUUUUUCCUUUGCUGCAGGCAAAAAGCUAUCAGCAAGCAUUAUCAGUGAGAAGCUUGCUGCUUGUGUGAACAUAGUGCCUGGUAGGAACUGUGUUCUCUCUCUCUCUCUCUGUUUAUUCUGUGCUGCUAGACACUCAAAUGUAGUAGAUUCUUUUUUUGUUUUUUGCGUGGAAUAGUUGAUUCCUGUCAACUGACCAUCUUCUACAGUAGUUUUCAGUUAUCAUUUGAACCUCGUCAUCUCUUCCAGUUUCCAUACAUAUCCCAUGUUGUGCACUUUAGCAAAUUGGCUUCUCUACCCCUUGCCUUGAAUCAAAUGUCAUCACUCAUCAGUGGACCAGGAUGACCAUUAAACAUCUGAGUUUUCCAAAAUGUGACACGGCUAGUCAUGUGGCUGUGUACAUCAUCAUUUGGCCUGUCAGGUGCAGCAUCGUGAAAUCACCACUGUUGGAACUAAACUUGAUGAAAGGUAUUCAAUUGACGAAACUUAUGGGGUCUCAACUGUCAAGUGAAAAUCAUGGUGAAAAUGAAGGGCUGAAGGGAACUAUCUUAAUAAUUAUAGAAGUAGGGAUUAGCGAUGGUAUUAGAGAUGGAGUAUAAACUAUAAACAUGUUAUGCUUGAUAGCCAACUCUACCUGGUCAAUGAUAAAAAAUAUUUAUAUGAUAGAGCAACUUUCUGUAGAGGUUCAACAUAAUUACUGUUUGAGAUUUUCUACUUGAAUUAACCACAAACGUCUGACCAUCAUCAAGAUCUUCAAGAUCCCUUUAACAGUAGACUAUAGUGAACUGAACUAGUUGUGGACAUAGUGAUGUGUGGGCAAGUUGACACAUGGGUGACUUUCUUGUUUGUGUAGAACAUAUGGGUGCAAUGAUUACGAAAUCUUUUAUCAAAUUGUACUCUUUACUAACAAUAAAAAUAUGCAUUAAACUGAUGGAUAUGCAUUUGGCCAUCAACAGGUAAGCUACCUCAUCUUCUCACGAUUUCUGUUGUAUGUGGCUUACUGAGAAAUCUUCUUUUCAGUCAUCAUCAUAUCAUAUCAUCUUAUUUGAUGAUCAUUUCUGUUUCCAGGAAUUGAAUCUGUUUACUGGUGGGAGGAAAAGGUACAUUUCUACUGAUGCUUUCCUGGCCUGGCUAAUUUGCAGUGCCUGUUAUUCAUUCAACGCUUUUCACCAUGAAACGAGAGAAUUUCUGGACCAUGGUCCACCCACACCUAUGCUCGGCGUCGUUAGAUGUAACACUACUACCAUGUGGAUACUAGAUACGGGUCAGGUUAGGAUUCAAGAUUUGUAGAUUAUGCUAAUUCGGACAUCCGGUCCACCACCAGCUCCAUGUGUAGGUCUGUGCACACUCGCCCUUUUUUGAACUACGUGGCUGGCACAGUGCGCUAAACUACUCUAGCAUAUGAGCCCAACCCUGAGAUUGUUUAAAAACAAUCUUAUCACCAGCUCCUUGUCCUGCGCUAAUGCCGACAUUUUUAAAGUUUGUCUGCGAGGGUCACCAGAGGUCAAACGUUUUAGACACUGCAUCACAUGGCGAAACAUUGAAAGUGCAUUUAGGUACUUACAUACAUGCUUUUCAACAAGAUAACAACAAAAAACAGACACCUUAAACAAACUGCUUAGGUCCCAAUAUACUAAAAAUGAUGGCAUGCAAGCCAUAGCGCCCUGGUUGUUGUGCAUAAGGCGUGCAACAAAAAUCUUAAAUGGUCAUACCGCAUGGGGGACAGGAUUGUGCACAACGACGCAUCCCUCCUAUUUUAUUCCCCUAUACGGAGUAUCUCUCACCAUGUAGUAGGUUGAUUAAAAAAACCAGAGACCUGAUAAUCAGUGGUUGAUGAUUCCUGCCAUAUGCUAGGAGGGCAGAAUGUCACAUAUCUCAAGAAAUGGUGUGAGGCGAUGAAUGGUACCGAGCGUGGGUGCCGGUGGACCAUGGUCUAGAGCCACAUUUCUAACCAUGAAACUCCUUUACAUGGGAUGUCUUACCAAUCCAUUACAAAAGUACAUAUAUUUAGUAGCUCUCCACAACCUGUUGAUUCCUCAGGUGCAAACCGAUGCUGAAGAGCUGCUCAUCAUCAAGACCAGAGAAUCUCUUCUAAACGCCUUGACUGAACAUGUGAAAGCAAACCAUGAGUAUGAGUAAGUUCUGUCCUUUUUUAUCAAGCUUGGUCUAUUUGUUGGUACAGAGUAUGGACCAGCAAGUUAUAAUCAAACAUGUUGUCUGUCCUGAACGGAGGUUUGUACUGUCUGAUCUUUCCAUGCAGUGUUCCUGAAGUCAUCGCGCUGCCCAUCAGCGGAGGUAACCUCAAGUACCUGGAGUGGCUCAAGAACAGCACCAGGGAGAAGUGAUCUGGCUAGAGCUUUCCAUGGACCUCAUCUGUGAGUAGAGUACCUAGUGGUGUGGAUUGUGGAGUGUCUGUUCUGGUUUGAGACGCCGAGCUUGUUCAUAAAGACUUUAGUAGCCUCUCUGCCUCGAUGGCGUUGCCGUGACAAAUCGGUCGAUCUGUACUGUCUCCUAGGGUCAAAUAAAAUUCCGAAGCGUGUAGCGUCGAGACGACUGCACAUGAAAUCCUCACUUGGCGCCUGCGGAUUAUCUCAUCAUUCUUUUCAUCUAAUCUCUUAAAAAAACAUACGUACUAGGUAUUUUUGUCAUGAAACUGUACUUGUGUUCCAAAGGGGGAAUAGGAGCUGAAGGACAUGGGCGUCAUUUGAGCUGAAGGAGUAACAGUCAAGUAUGAUUGAGAAGGGAAGUUAAAGAAGCUACAGUACCCUAACUUCCCUUCUUUCUAUUCAUAUGAUUAAGGCUAAAAUAAGUCAAAUUAAUUUGUAAAUUGAUGAUCUACUGUGUACAUUUAUUGUAGUAAUUACACACAAAUAAGUUGAUGGUGAAAUAAAAUUAAUUUUAAACUAUUAUAUCUACAGUAAAUAUCAACAGUAAACAAGUUGCUAACUACCUACUAACAGUCUCUAACUUUAUUUUUUCAUUUUACACUGGGCUAGCACUGUAGCACCAUGACUUUCUUCUCUAUGCUAGAGGAUCCAGUUCGUAGUACUUGGCGUAAGUUGGAAAAAGAAGAGAGAAACGAUGUGCGCUUUACCUCGUCGCUAAGCUACGAGAGUUCCAUGUAAAAAGAGUAGAGAUCUAUCAGUAAUCAGUAGGGUAGGCAACUGACACGAGUUUGCCGACCACUCCUACUACUGAUGAUUGCCUGAUGGCUAGCCAGUAGGCACGGCAAGAGAGUUAUCGAUGCUGAGGACACCGUCACUGUGUGGUGUGUACCACAGUUAUAAAAAGUCUCUCCAAUAAUGUAUCCUCUUUUGGCUUUCUCUAAUAUAAGCCCUUUUACUUUGGAAUGAUAGUACUAGAGUAUCUGCAGGCUGCACCACUGAGCUGAAUCCGACAUGUGGCUCGUCUGGUCUGGAGAUCUGGUCACAUGAUGCGCUGGGCCAGCAACAGGCUUGCAGUUUUGUUCAUUCCAAGGUGGUUUGGUUCGGUGGGAAUCUGCCUGCCUACUGAUUCAGUCGCACCCCUAAAAAAAAUACUGAUUCAGAUGCACUUGUACCAACACCGAGAUCGAUCGAUAAUAUGAUCCUACCUACCCACCCACAUUGGCACAUACUCCCUCCGUUCCAAAUUACUCGCCGAUCUAAAACUAAAAUACAUCUAGAUACAUCCAUACCUGUGGCAAGUAAUUCAAAACGGAGGGAGUAGCUAACAAGAUAGCAGUAGCAGCUGCUUAAAUAAUCAGAGAAAGUUCAGUAUAAUAACCACAUCAUCUGGGUAUCUGCACUUUUGUGGUGCCGCAAAUAUCACCCCAGAGAGAACUCUCAGCUCACUGGUAACAAGGGGAGCAAAGAAGAGCAAGCACCUGUCAGACAGUCACACACACACAACUGUAUUAACGGGCAAGUGUGCGCGCAGUACACUGAACCAUCAUAUUUUCAACCCAAAAACAAGCACACACGCAUGUACUACUAAUCAACAACAAUUAACCUUAGCCAGUAGCCAAGUCACACGCCCUACUCUCCUCUAGCGGGGAAGGGGCACACGCAUCAGAUCAGAUCAGAUAAGAUUCAGAGUCACACACACACACACACACCGGAACCGAGCGAACAGCACUCGGAGAAGAUUCAGAGACGCAAAACAAC